GACGAACGCUGGCGGCGUGCUUAACACAUGCAAGUCGAACGAAGAGCGACGGAAGCUUGCUUCUAUCAAUCUUAGUGGCGAACGGGUGAGUAACGCGUAAUCAACCUGCCCUUCAGAGGGGGACAACAGUUGGAAACGACUGCUAAUACCGCAUACGAUCUAACCUCGGCAUCGAGGAUAGAUGAAAGGUGGCCUCUACAUGUAAGCUAUCACUGAAGGAGGGGAUUGCGUCUGAUUAGCUAGUUGGAGGGGUAACGGCCCACCAAGGCGAUGAUCAGUAGCCGGUCUGAGAGGAUGAACGGCCACAUUGGGACUGAGACACGGCCCAGACUCCUACGGGAGGCAGCAGUGGGGAAUCUUCCGCAAUGGACGAAAGUCUGACGGAGCAACGCCGCGUGAGUGAUGACGGCCUUCGGGUUGUAAAGCUCUGUUAAUCGGGACGAAAGGCCUUCUUGCGAAUAGUGAGAAGGA
This 471-nucleotide ribosomal RNA is filed under the name Veillonella parvula. Its description in RNAcentral is "bacterial SSU rRNA". It matches the Rfam family "Bacterial small subunit ribosomal RNA", at positions 28 to 472 of the family's 1533-position model. Lineage: Bacteria; Bacillati; Bacillota; Negativicutes; Veillonellales; Veillonellaceae. The record is from RNAcentral.